Molecule: long non-coding RNA, 491 nt
Filed under: Eucalyptus grandis
Lineage: Eukaryota; Viridiplantae; Streptophyta; Magnoliopsida; Myrtales; Myrtaceae
Description: long non-coding RNA (EGRA_LNC001327)
Source: RNAcentral
GUGUUUUAAAUAGGUACUUUAACAUGUUUUCAGUAGAUGGAUAUCAUGUGGAUAAUGUGCAAACAUAGGAACAUUAUGUCGAACUUGCUCUUAUUGGAGACUAUAUGCCAGAUAGGCUUAAUUGUAACAAUGCAUUCGCAAAUUACUGGAAGGAUCAACUAAAAAACAUCAGGAGCUUCAAAUCGAAGUCAAAUGAUUGUUCUAUUGAAGAUUUUGGGCCUUAGUAUUGCUGAAACAAUAGCAUGAUGGUGAUAACUGGGUUGGUUCAAAACUGCAACUGCUUAAAUUUACUCAAGCACGAGUGUUCGAUUUAUUGUGAGCAUAUUAUCAAACUGAAUAAGGGAUGCUUUGUUGCUUCAUAAACCACUAAUGAACGCAAACUUACUUGAAAAUCUUUAACUUGAUUGCUGGUCUGAUCAAUCUAUGAUACUCGAUUGUCUAUGCUAUGUGGCUAAUGAGUGCUUAUCAUGCCAUUCUUAAUAUUUCUGUAG